RNAcentral lists this ribosomal RNA (253 nucleotides) under uncultured bacterium. RNAcentral's name for it is "partial 16S ribosomal RNA". It matches the Rfam family "Bacterial small subunit ribosomal RNA", at positions 524 to 776 of the family's 1533-position model. The record is from RNAcentral.
UACAGAGGUCCCGAGCGUUGUCCGGAAUCAUUGGGCGUAAAGCGCGUGUAGGCGGUUCGGUAAGUCUGCUGUGAAAGUCCAGGGCUCAACCCUGGGAUGCCGGUGGAUACUGUCGGACUAGAGUACGGAAGAGGCGAGUGGAAUUCCCGGUGUAGCGGUGAAAUGCGCAGAUAUCGGGAGGAACACCAAUUGCGAAGGCAGCUCGCUGGGACGUUACUGACGCUGAGACGCGAAAGCGUGGGGAGCAAACAGG